This 529-nucleotide ribosomal RNA is filed under the name uncultured bacterium. RNAcentral's name for it is "bacterial SSU rRNA". It matches the Rfam family "Bacterial small subunit ribosomal RNA", at positions 791 to 1320 of the family's 1533-position model. The record is from RNAcentral.
UAGUCCACGCCGUAAACGAUGUCUACUAGCCGUUGGGGUACUUGAGACCUUAGUGGCGCAGCUAACGCACUAAGUAGACCGCCUGGGGAGUACGGCCGCAAGGUUAAAACUCAAUGGAAUUGACGGGGACCCGCACAAGCGGUGAAGCAUGUGGUUUAAUUCGAUGCAACGCGAAGAACCUUACCUGCCCUUGACAUUGACAGAACCCUUUAGAGAUAGAGGGGUGCCUUCGGGCCUGGAAAACAGGUGCUGCAUGGCUGUCGUCAGCUCGUGUCGUGAGAUGUUGGGUUAAGUCCCGCAACGAGCGCAACCCUUAUCCUUAGUUGCCAGCGGUUCGGCCGGGAACUCUAGGGAGACUGCCAGCGACAAGCUGGAGGAAGGCGGGGACGACGUCAAGUCAUCAUGGCCCUUAUGGGCAGGGCUACACACGUGCUACAAUGGCCGGUACAGAGGGCCGCAAACCCGCGAGGGGGAGCCGAAUCCCAGAAAGCCGGUCGUAGUCCGGAUCGGAGUCUGCAACUCGACUCCG